RNAcentral lists this ribosomal RNA (519 nucleotides) under Triticum aestivum (bread wheat). RNAcentral's name for it is "partial small subunit ribosomal RNA". The record is from RNAcentral. Lineage: Eukaryota; Viridiplantae; Streptophyta; Magnoliopsida; Poales; Poaceae.
AUGUUUGUGCAAGCUAGGGAGAUGUUCCAUGAGCAGAACUUUGGAAGGGUAAAUGACAAGGAAAAGUUUGAGAAGGAGUUGGCCAGGCUUAAGAGUGAGCAUGAAAGGGAGUUGGCCAAGCUUAGGACUGAAAAUGACAAGCUUUGCAUUGAGUACACCAAGCUUGUUGAUGAUGUAUCCAAGAUGUUUGAUUGGCAGGAUGGUAGGGUGGACAAGCAGGUGUACCAGAAACAAGUGGAGGAGGAAGAACUUGAGAAGAAGAAGAAGGAGCUAGAGGAGAAAGCCAUGUUGGAGGUGCAGAUGGAAAAGCUCAAACUUGCAAAAGAGCAGAGGUGCAUUUUGCAGAGCCAAGCUGAUAUCAUCAGGAACACCAGGAAGGCUAUGAAGGAUGUUGAAGUUGACAGAGAUGUUCUUAAGAAGGAGAAGGCAAAGCUUGAGCUUGUUGUUGCCGAGCUGCUAAAAGAAGGGUAUGGCAGCAAGGAGAAGUUAGAGCAAAUCAAGGCCAUCCUUGAGUCUUGA